GACGAACGCUGGCGGCGUGCUUAACACAUGCAAGUCGAACGGGAGUAUCGAAGAAGCUUGCUUUAGAGAUACUUUAGUGGCGGACGGGUGAGUAACGCGUGAGGAGCUGUCCAAUGCAGGGGGACAACAGUUGGAAACGACUGCUAAUACCCCAUAAGCCGAGAGGUAAAAGGAUUUAUCCGGCAAUGGAGGUACUCGCGUCCUAUCAGCUAGUAGGUGAGGUAACGGCUCACCUAGGCGAAGACGGGUAGCCGGCCUGAGAGGGCGAACGGCCACACUGGAACUGAGAUACGGUCCAGACUCCUACGGGAGGCAGCAGUGGGGAAUAUUGGGCAAUGGGGGGAACCCUGACCCAGCGACGCCGCGUGGGUGAAGAAAUCCUUCGGGAUGUAAAGCCCUGUUGUAUGGGAAGAGCGGAAGACGGUACCAUACGAGGAAGCCCCGGCAAACUACGUGCCAGCCGCCGCAGUAA
Molecule: ribosomal RNA, 472 nt
Filed under: uncultured bacterium
Lineage: Bacteria
Description: partial 16S ribosomal RNA
Rfam family: Bacterial small subunit ribosomal RNA
Source: RNAcentral